Molecule: non-coding RNA, 73 nt
Organism: Podarcis lilfordi (Lilford's wall lizard)
Lineage: Eukaryota; Metazoa; Chordata; Lepidosauria; Squamata; Lacertidae
Source: the annotation of a GenBank genome assembly
GCUGAGAUAGCUCAGUCGGUUGAGCAUGAGACUCUUAAUCUCUGGGUUGUGGGUUCGAGUCCCACAUUGAGCA